RNAcentral lists this ribosomal RNA (497 nucleotides) under uncultured bacterium. RNAcentral describes it as "partial 16S ribosomal RNA". It matches the Rfam family "Bacterial small subunit ribosomal RNA", at positions 28 to 507 of the family's 1533-position model. The record is from RNAcentral.
GAUGAACGCUGGCGGCGUGCCUAAUACAUGCAAGUCGAGCGAACGGACGAGGAGCUUGCUUUUCUGAUGUUAGCGGCGGACGGGUGAGUAACACGUGGAUAACCUACCUAUAAGACUGGGAUCACUUCGGGAAACCGGAGCUAAUACCGGAUAAUAUUUUGAACCGCAUGGUUCAAAAGUGAAAGACGGUCUUGCUGUCACUUAUAGCUGGAUCCGCGCUGCAUUAGCUAGUUGGUACGGUAACGGCUUACCAAGGCAACGAUGCGUAGCCGACCGGGGAGAGUGAUCGCCCACACUGGAACUGAGACGCGGUCCAGACGCCUACGAGAGGCAGCAGUAGGGAAUCUUCCGCAAUAGGCGAAAGCCUGACGGAGCAACGCCGCGUGAGUGAUGAAGGUCUUCGGAUCGUAAAACUCUGUUAUUAGGGAAGAACAGAUGUGUAAGUAACUGUGCACAUCUUGACGGUACCUAAUCAGAAAGCCACGGCUAACUACGUG